CUCCUCAUGAAAAAUAAUUACAUCUGGUUUAGAGUUAAAGCUAAGGAGGCACUGAGAAGCAGUUAGUUAAGGAAUUCAUUUACAAAUUAUAAUAGCCGUUGGGUAAAAAAUAUUAUAAUUGAGAUGGCUUGAGAAUAAAACAUCGCCGUAAUUUUUUUUUAUUUACCUUUAUUGAUUUCAAAGGUGUCAACCCAGGAUUAGCUCGUUAGCUAAAUUAUUAGCUGAAUGGUGGCUAAUGCGGACUGUCUCACCACAGCCACGUUGAGUGUUUGCGGGUUAAACAGUCAGAACGUGGCCUCUUCUUAAAAUACCUCUCCUCUGAAAACCUCUCACGUGCUCGCACGAACACAAGUAGACGAGCAGGAGCACGUUCAGACAGACAGGCGAUCGGUUCAAAACCAAGCCACGUGCUGCCUCUCAUCGCUCAGCCUGUGUGCGACUACGCUUUGCCAACUCGCGCAGGCUGCAGCCCAAACAUGUGACGCUCAACUCUGAGGGGGUAUGGAUCGGUUCCUGAAAGCCAUCCUGAUGGACGUGAGGAGCUGUGACGCUGAGGAACAGUGCAGGACAAACACAGUAGGCAGGAAGAAGAGGAAGCUGAAUGAGGACCAGGAGAAAGGUGAUGAUUUUGUCGUGAUUAGUGGCGUCCCGACAGGCUGAGGCGACUCCCCCUGUGUCUAAACAAUAGAUAAUAUCUCUUUACUGAAUGAAAUGGAGGGAAACGGUUCAACGAACUGGGAGAACAUGUCUCCCUGCUGUGUUUACUCGGUAGAUGCCUGUAGCGCUCUCGCGUCUCGCUCCCAUUUUGUUUGAAGCAGCGAUAACAUCUGUAUAUUAAAAGAAAGUGAGAAAGACGUAUGAUACAGACAGAAUAAAUGUCCUCCUUUGCUUCA
This 893-nucleotide long non-coding RNA is filed under the name Betta splendens (Siamese fighting fish). RNAcentral's name for it is "lncRNA (ENSBSLG00000019469.1)". Lineage: Eukaryota; Metazoa; Chordata; Actinopteri; Anabantiformes; Osphronemidae. The record is from RNAcentral.